This 690-nucleotide ribosomal RNA is filed under the name Triticum aestivum (bread wheat). RNAcentral describes it as "partial small subunit ribosomal RNA". Lineage: Eukaryota; Viridiplantae; Streptophyta; Magnoliopsida; Poales; Poaceae. The record is from RNAcentral.
AUGACCACGAUGAUCGCAGCUAGCUCCAUAGUGAAAGCCAACCUUCCUUGCUCGUCAAGGAUAUCCUCCAGCUCAGACUUCUCAUCUGGUCAUUCUUGGCGCCCAUUAGAGGCGGCAAAACAUUACCGGGCGCAUGGUGUGCGCUCGCUGCGGAUAACAUGUGCUGCCACUAAGACUGCAAAAUCUCCAGCUGAAGAAGAAUGGAAGAUCAAACGGCAACUCCUAGUAGAGAAGCGGGUACGUAGUGUUGAUGUGAAGGAAGCAUUGCGCCUUCAAAACGAAAACAACUUUGUAAUCCUUGAUGUCAGACCAGAAGCAGAGUUCAAACAGGCUCACCCACCUGGUGCUGUUAAUGUACAAAUAUACAGAUUAAUAAAGGAGUGGACAGCAUGGGAUAUUGCAAGGAGGGCAGCAUUUGCUUUCUUCGGCAUAUUUGCAGGAACAGAAGAGAAUCCCGAGUUCAUAAAAAGUGUUGAAGAAAAACUUGAUAAAGAUUCAAAGAUAAUUGUAGCAUGUUCAGCUGGAGGAACAAUGAAGCCAACACAGAAUCUACCUGAUGGGAAGCAAUCUAGGUCUCUGAUAGCGGCGUACCUGCUGGUCCUAAACGGCUACAAGAACGUGUUCCAUCUGGACGGAGGACUCUACACAUGGUUCAAGGAAGACCUACCAUCUGAAGGAGAAGAAGAUUGA